UUUUAAUAAGGCAGACUGUAGUAAAAAGACUAUGUAUAAAAUACCCACAGAUUAUAUUAAAUCGCAGAAGAUUUGAUACAUUAUUUCUCCUAAACAAUUCGGUCCACUCAUCGCCAUUCCAUUUUUGAUAUUAACUCAUUCUCUUCCACUCAUCAUCUUCACAGUUUUAAAAUGACUCAGUGUCUUCAAUAUACCGCAUCUUCUUCAAUAACACACACACACAUAUAUAUAUAUAUAAUGACAAUUAGUCUACGUUUAUAUUCCUUUUUAUUAUAAAAAUUCAUAUGUAGUAGCCAACUUGUUAGACAUCAUUAUAUUAUUCCUUUUCCUUAUUUUAUCUAUUCUAUUUCCAGCAUCUUCCAUCGAGCACCUUCCUUCUCCCUUUCUUAUUAUUAUAUAUUUAUCAUAGUGGCCAACUUGCAUCAUAAGGUUAGGUUUCUUUCUUUUAUUUUAACUCUUCUUUCCAGCACCUCUUUCCUCUUUUACUAUUUUUUUUAGUUCCUUUUCUCAUCUAUAUUCGUUCCCCUCCUUUCUUAUUGUUUCUACCAAUCUCUCUUGCCAAAAGCUGAGACAACCCGAGAGAGAAAAGUGGACUGAUGCUGGUGCUGUCCCAUGCGUGUCCAAGUGCUGCAUUGUUUUAGAAUUUCUGCUUUUGACCGAGUGGAAUGCUGCAGGUGCUGCUUUGGACGCAUCACUCAUCAUUCUCCCACUCACCCUCAUUAUUUAACUGAUCGCCAUUCCCUGCAAACCACGCAUCUCACUCUCUUGUAUGCUUUUAUUUCUUUAUUCUUUUCUCCUUCCCCUGUGCUCCUUCUUUCCUCUUCUCUUUAGGACUAAGUGUCAGUGACAGAAUGUGAGUCUGAAAGAGAGAUAAGAUAGAGACUCGAUUCUACCAUGAUCCACGGCACCGAACCCGUAGCCAGCCGUGACUUGUGCUCACUUGAUCCUCCCUUAGCCGAUUUCCAGCAGCAAACCGUCCAGCCCACUGACCCACCAAACAGAAGAAACCAGACCCAGCAAUCCGGCAUGAACCCAGCUCUACCCAUUAACCCGUGAACCCCGAAACCCAUGCCGCACCAUUCCAGCAACCUGUAGCUCAGCAAACUCAGAAGAAACCCGUGACCCAGCCGAGCUCGACUCGUGGACGUGUGCCGGAGAUGAUGAAUUGAGACAGCACAAAAGGACUGUAAGUAUAAAUUACUUACUGAGGGUAGCACUGGAUUUCAGUAAUAUUGUGUUUAUGUUUUAUUUUAAUUGGAUGCGUGUGACUGAUUAUUGCAUACUGUUAAUAAUCAACCUAUUAAUAUUGGGCGCGACGUCUCCCAAAGGUUCAGGAUGGUAAGUAUGCCUGAAACCGGAAACCAUAAUAAUCAUAUUGAUUGGGACGGCUUUCAAAGUACUAGAGGAGGGAGGUCUCCAAUAGUGCGAAAAUCAGUUAAUUAAAAUGUAAUGUAGAGGGGACGGCCUCGAGAAAGACGUUAACCGGGGGGACGGCCCUUACAAGAGAGGAGUGUAAUCACUAUAUGAACUGUUAAA
Long non-coding RNA from Alnus glutinosa, 1536 nucleotides. RefSeq lists it as uncharacterized. The transcript is spliced from 2 exons. The record is from RefSeq and is a predicted model, not a curated record. NCBI's taxonomy places the organism in Eukaryota, Viridiplantae, Streptophyta, Magnoliopsida, Fagales, Betulaceae.